UAUGGUAAUUGUGUGCCAGCCUCCGCUUUACUACGUAGGUGGCAAGCGUUGUCCGGAAUUAUUGGGCGUAAAGCGCGCGCAGGCGGCUUCUUAAGUCCAUCUUAAAAGUGCGGGGCUUAACCCCGUGAUGGGAUGGAAACUGGGAGGCUGGAGUAUCGGAGAGGAAAGUGGAAUUCCUAGUGUAGCGGUGAAAUGCGUAGAGAUUAGGAAGAACACCGGUGGCGAAGGCGACUUUCUGGACGACAACUGACGCUGAGGCGCGAAAGCGUGGGGAGCAAACAGG
This 283-nucleotide ribosomal RNA is filed under the name Dialister succinatiphilus YIT 11850. Its description in RNAcentral is "partial 16S ribosomal RNA". It matches the Rfam family "Bacterial small subunit ribosomal RNA", at positions 492 to 776 of the family's 1533-position model. The record is from RNAcentral. Lineage: Bacteria; Bacillati; Bacillota; Negativicutes; Veillonellales; Veillonellaceae.